UUAAGUUAUUAAGGGCGCACGGUGGAUGCCUUGGCACUAGAAGCCGAUGAAGGACGUUACUAACGACGAUAUGCUUUGGGGAGCUGUAAGUAAGCUUUGAUCCAGAGAUUUCCGAAUGGGGAAACCCAGCAUGAGUUAUGUCAUGUUAUCGAUAUGUGAAUACAUAGCAUAUCAGAAGGCACACCCGGAGAACUGAAACAUCUUAGUACCCGGAGGAAGAGAAAGAAAAUUCGAUUCCCUUAGUAGCGGCGAGCGAAACGGGAAGAGCCCAAACCAACAAGCUUGCUUGUUGGGGUUGUAGGACACUCUAUACGGAGUUACAAAGGACGACAUUAGACGAAUCAUCUGGAAAGAUGAAUCAAAGAAGGUAAUAAUCCUGUAGUCGAAAAUGUUGUCUCUCUUGAGUGGAUCCUGAGUACGACGGAGCACGUGAAAUUCCGUCGGAAUCUGGGAGGACCAUCUCCUAAGGCUAAAUACUCUCUAGUGACCGAUAGUGAACCAGUACCGUGAGGGAAAGGUGAAAAGCACCCCGGAAGGGGAGUGAAAUAGAACCUGAAACCGUGUGCUUACAAGUAGUCAGAGCCCGUUAAUGGGUGAUGGCGUGCCUUUUGUAGAAUGAACCGGCGAGUUACGAUUUGAUGCAAGGUUAAGCAGUAAAUGUGGAGCCGUAGCGAAAGCGAGUCUGAAUAGGGCGUUUAGUAUUUGGUCGUAGACCCGAAACCAGGUGAUCUACCCUUGGUCAGGUUGAAGUUCAGGUAACACUGAAUGGAGGACCGAACCGACUUACGUUGAAAAGUGAGCGGAUGAACUGAGGGUAGCGGAGAAAUUCCAAUCGAACCUGGAGAUAGCUGGUUCUCUCCGAAAUAGCUUUAGGGCUAGCCUCAAGUGAUGAUUAUUGGAGGUAGAGCACUGUUUGGACGAGGGGCCCCUCUCGGGUUACCGAAUUCAGACAAACUCCGAAUGCCAAUUAAUUUAACUUGGGAGUCAGAACAUGGGUGAUAAGGUCCGUGUUCGAAAGGGAAACAGCCCAGACCACCAGCUAAGGUCCCAAAAUAUAUGUUAAGUGGAAAAGGAUGUGGCGUUGCCCAGACAACUAGGAUGUUGGCUUAGAAGCAGCCAUCAUUUAAAGAGUGCGUAAUAGCUCACUAGUCGAGUGACACUGCGCCGAAAAUGUACCGGGGCUAAACAUAUUACCGAAGCUGUGGAUUGUCCUUUGGACAAUGGUAGGAGAGCGUUCUAAGGGCGUUGAAGCAUGAUCGUAAGGACAUGUGGAGCGCUUAGAAGUGAGAAUGCCGGUGUGAGUAGCGAAAGACGGGUGAGAAUCCCGUCCACCGAUUGACUAAGGUUUCCAGAGGAAGGCUCGUCCGCUCUGGGUUAGUCGGGUCCUAAGCUGAGGCCGACAGGCGUAGGCGAUGGAUAACAGGUUGAUAUUCCUGUACCACCUAUAAUCGUUUUAAUCGAUGGGGGGACGCAGUAGGAUAGGCGAAGCGUGCGAUUGGAUUGCACGUCUAAGCAGUAAGGCUGAGUAUUAGGCAAAUCCGGUACUCGUUAAGGCUGAGCUGUGAUGGGGAGAAGACAUUGAGUCUUCGAGUCGUUGAUUUCACACUGCCGAGAAAAGCCUCUAGAUAGAAAAUAGGUGCCCGUACCGCAAACCGACACAGGUAGUCAAGAUGAGAAUUCUAAGGUGAGCGAGCGAACUCUCGUUAAGGAACUCGGCAAAAUGACCCCGUAACUUCGGGAGAAGGGGUGCUCUUUAGGGUUAACGCCCAGAAGAGCCGCAGUGAAUAGGCCCAAGCGACUGUUUAUCAAAAACACAGGUCUCUGCUAAACCGUAAGGUGAUGUAUAGGGGCUGACGCCUGCCCGGUGCUGGAAGGUUAAGAGGAGUGGUUAGCUUCUGCGAAGCUACGAAUCGAAGCCCCAGUAAACGGCGGCCGUAACUAUAACGGUCCUAAGGUAGCGAAAUUCCUUGUCGGGUAAGUUCCGACCCGCACGAAAGGCGUAACGAUUUGGGCACUGUCUCAACGAGAGACUCGGUGAAAUCAUAGUACCUGUGAAGAUGCAGGUUACCCGCGACAGGACGGAAAGACCCCGUGGAGCUUUACUGUAGCCUGAUAUUGAAAUUCGGCACAGCUUGUACAGGAUAGGUAGGAGCCUUUGAAACGUGAGCGCUAGCUUACGUGGAGGCGCUGGUGGGAUACUACCCUAGCUGUGUUGGCUUUCUAACCCGCACCACUUAUCGUGGUGGGAGACAGUGUCAAGCGGGCAGUUUGACUGGGGCGGUCGCCUCCUAAAAGGUAACGGAGGCGCUCAAAGGUUCCCUCAGAAUGGUUGGAAAUCAUUCAUAGAGUGUAAAGGCAUAAGGGAGCUUGACUGCGAGACCUACAAGUCGAGCAGGGUCGAAAGACGGACUUAGUGAUCCGGUGGUUCCGCAUGGAAGGGCCAUCGCUCAACGGAUAAAAGCUACCCCGGGGAUAACAGGCUUAUCUCCCCCAAGAGUUCACAUCGACGGGGAGGUUUGGCACCUCGAUGUCGGCUCAUCGCAUCCUGGGGCUGUAGUCGGUCCCAAGGGUUGGGCUGUUCGCCCAUUAAAGCGGUACGCGAGCUGGGUUCAGAACGUCGUGAGACAGUUCGGUCCCUAUCCGUCGUGGGCGUAGGAAAUUUGAGAGGAGCUGUCCUUAGUACGAGAGGACCGGGAUGGACAUACCUCUGGUGUACCAGUUGUCGUGCCAACGGCAUAGCUGGGUAGCUAUGU
Molecule: ribosomal RNA, 2753 nt
Filed under: Staphylococcus aureus M0693
Lineage: Bacteria; Bacillati; Bacillota; Bacilli; Caryophanales; Staphylococcaceae
Also listed under: 1 other name
Description: bacterial LSU rRNA
Rfam family: Bacterial large subunit ribosomal RNA
Source: RNAcentral